This is a non-coding RNA of Camillea tinctor, 83 nucleotides long. The record is from the annotation of a GenBank genome assembly. NCBI's taxonomy places the organism in Eukaryota, Fungi, Ascomycota, Sordariomycetes, Xylariales, Graphostromataceae.
CCCGAAUUGGUGUAGUGGUCAACACGUGACGUUCUCAUACUGUAUGAUUCGUCAAGCCCGAGGUUCGAUUCCUUGAUUUGGUC